GCGCUGCAUUAGCUAGUUGGUAAGGUAACGGCUUACCAAGGCAACGAUGCAUAGCCGACCUGAGAGGGUGAUCGGCCACACUGGAACUGAGACACGGUCCAGACUCCUACGGGAGGCAGCAGUAGGGAAUCUUCCGCAAUGGGCGAAAGCCUGACGGAGCAACGCCGCGUGAGUGAUGAAGGUCUUCGGAUCGUAAAACUCUGUUAUUAGGGAAGAACAUAUGUGUAAGUAACUGUGCACAUCUUGACGGUACCUAAUCAGAAAGCCACGGCUAACUACGUGCCAGCAGCCGCGGUAAUACGUAGGUGGCAAGCGUUAUCCGGAAUUAUUGGGCGUAAAGCGCGCGUAGGCGGUUUUUUAAGUCUGAUGUGAAAGCCCACGGCUCAACCGUGGAGGGUCAUUGGAAACUGGAAAACUUGAGUGCAGAAGAGGAAAGUGGAAUUCCAUGUGUAGCGGUGAAAUGCGCAGAGAUAUGGAGGAACACCAGUGGCGAAGGCGACUUUCUGGUCUGUAACUGACGCUGAUGUGCGAAAGCGUGGGGAUCAAACAGGAUUAGAUACCCUGGUAGUCCACGCCGUAA
RNAcentral lists this ribosomal RNA (580 nucleotides) under Staphylococcus aureus. RNAcentral describes it as "bacterial SSU rRNA". It matches the Rfam family "Bacterial small subunit ribosomal RNA", at positions 233 to 805 of the family's 1533-position model. Lineage: Bacteria; Bacillati; Bacillota; Bacilli; Caryophanales; Staphylococcaceae. The record is from RNAcentral.